UUAAUAGCACCUAAUCUAGCAGCACCCUUGAUCACACAAGGCAAAGUGAAAUUAUCAGGCAACAAAAACCGAUGAAGCAAAUCACAAAACAGAGUUAAAGCUUCGUGGGAUCGUUGGUUAAAGACGUAGCACUUGAUGAGAAGGUUGUAGAGAACCAACGAGGGAUGUUGAAGAACUCGAUCAAAAAUGGAUCGAGCAUAGUGAAGGUUAUUGAUAUGAGGGUCGACGUAAAGAGAGAGAAGGCGAGAAGAGAUUCCGGAGUGAUAAAUGAGGUUGGUCUUGACGGAAAGGGCGUGGAGUUGUUGGGUUUCUUUGUGAGUGCUUGAGAAUUUGAGAAUAUUCCAGUGAAGACGAGAGGGUAAAUGCUUCUGGAGAGCAUGAAUUGGCGAUGAGUGUUGCAGCGUUUGCGUUUGCAUGGGCGCGCGCUCUUUGCGCAGCGUAGGAGCUGCGGAGCAAGUACAAUGAGAUCUAUCAGAGUCUCAGAACACAGAUACUAACAGUAGUUUAGAGAUUCACAUUUAUACAGUUUAUAGGGUCCAAUGGAGUAGUUUUCUAACAGUUAUGUUUGAUUGGCAAUGAGUUCUAAUCUUGGUGAGAAUUAGAAAUUUAAAUUUUAUCCAGCUCUGCCUUUUUAAAAAAUUAGUUACAAAAAAUAGAUGUCUUCAACACAAUAUAGAUCCUCGAAAGGAUCUCGAAGACCCACCAAAGCAUGAAAGCCAAGCAAGAUCUUUCGGAAAAUAGAUUUCCAUUCCAAGAGUGCAUAAACCAAAUGGAUAAGCUCACACUAACUUAAUCUAAUUCGGAAUUUUCUUUGGAGGGUAUGAUAAAGGAAUUGAAAUGGAAUAAUAAAAGGUUGAGAAUUCGAAAAUCUGCGCAGUUGUGGGAAGAGAAUUUGUUAAUUAAUAUUAUUAGCGCUGGCCAGUGCGUUGUUGGUGACUAUUUGAAUCAACUCAUAUAGCUCAAGAUUCACAAUAUCUGCAGUCUGUAAAUUAAUUUUAGUAUGCCGAUUUGAUUUCGGAUGGUCUUUGUUUAACACUUGCGGUGUGUUUACUUCGUAGAAUGAGAAUUGCGUGGAAUAGAAAUUGACUGAAAUGGGAAUGAGGAAUGAAAAUAAGAAUGAGAUUUUAAUGUUUAAUUGACAAACAUAAAUAGAAAUGGAAAUGUGCUUGAAUGCCAUUGAUAUGUUUACUUGGCAAAAUAAAUGGGAACGAAGAAUGUGAAUGAGAAUCAAUUUAUCCAAAUACCCAUAGUAUUAAUAAUUAAUAAAAAUAAUUAAUUUAUUAUUAUUAAUAUUAUUAUUAUUAUUGUUUUUAUUAUUACUAUUAUUAUUAAAUUUUAUUAUUAUUAAAUUUUAUUAACUUUAUUAUUUUAGUUAUUAUUAAUUAUUGUUAAUAUUAACUGCUUUAAUAUUAAAAAAAAAAGAUAGUUGUUUUUCAAGGAUUACCUGCAGUACGGCCAAGGCGGAUGGACGGUACAGCAGGGCAACAAAAACCGAUGAAGCAAAUCACAAAACAGAGUUAAAGCUUCGUGGGAUCGUUGGUUAAAGACGUAGCACUUGAUGAGAAGGUUGUAGAGAACCAACGAGGGAUGUUGAAGAACUCGAUCAAAAAUGGAUCGAGCAUAGUGAAGGUUAUUGAUAUGAGGGUCGACGUAAAGAGAGAGAAGGCGAGAAGAGAUUCCGGAGUGAUAAAUGAGGUUGGUCUUGACGGAAAGGGCGUGGAGUUGUUGGGUUUCUUUGUGAGUGCUUGAGAAUUUGAGAAUAUUCCAGUGAAGACGAGAGGGUAAAUGCUUCUGGAGAGCAUGAAUUGGCGAUGAGUGUUGCAGCGUUUGCGUUUGCAUGGGCGCGCGCUCUUUGCGCAGCGUAGGAGCUGCGGAGCAAGUACAAUGAGAUCUAUCAGAGUCUCAGAACACAGAUACUAACAGUAGUUUAGAGAUUCACAUUUAUACAGUUUAUAGGGUCCAAUGGAGUAGUUUUCUAACAGUUAUGUUUGAUUGGCAAUGAGUUCUAAUCUUGGUGAGAAUUAGAAAUUUAAAUUUUAUCCAGCUCUGCCUUUUUAAAAAAUUAGUUACAAAAAAUAGAUGUCUUCAACACAAUAUAGAUCCUCG
RNAcentral lists this long non-coding RNA (2106 nucleotides) under Citrus sinensis (sweet orange). RNAcentral describes it as "long non-coding RNA (CSIN_LNC000772)". The record is from RNAcentral. Lineage: Eukaryota; Viridiplantae; Streptophyta; Magnoliopsida; Sapindales; Rutaceae.